GAUGAUUCAUCCCUUGCAGAGUUCUUUGCUUCCUGGUAUCUCUGAUCCCCAGCAGAUUGGAUACUCUCCGGUGAACUUGGCUUUCUCUCUUGAGAUGUAGUACCGGGUGGUUGAUUCCUGGACCUGGUUGUGUUAGAUAUGUCUGUUUGUCAGCAUACAUCAUACAUAAACCACGCAUAUACAUGCAUAAUUAUAACAUUCAGAUAUUCAUGUUGCAUUCUUUGCCAUAUAUCGUUGUUUGCUGUCUCCUGGUAUUUGGUGAUAUA
RNAcentral lists this long non-coding RNA (266 nucleotides) under Lathyrus oleraceus (garden pea). RNAcentral describes it as "Pisum sativum (pea) long non-coding RNA (PSAT_LNC033646)". The record is from RNAcentral. Lineage: Eukaryota; Viridiplantae; Streptophyta; Magnoliopsida; Fabales; Fabaceae.